Molecule: microRNA precursor, 101 nt
Filed under: Hordeum vulgare
Lineage: Eukaryota; Viridiplantae; Streptophyta; Magnoliopsida; Poales; Poaceae
Description: microRNA MIR1122
Rfam family: MIR1120/MIR1122 microRNA precursor family
Source: RNAcentral
UAAGUACUCCCUCCGUCCCAAAAUUCUUGUCUUAGAUUUGUCUAGAUAAGAAUUUUCUAGACAAACCUAAGACAAGAAUUUUGGGACGGAGGGAGUAAUAA